GCGGACGUGGCGAAACGGCAGACGCAGCAGACUUAAAAUCUGUUUCCCGCAUGGGAGUGGGGGUUCGAUUCCCCCCGUCCGCACCA
Molecule: transfer RNA, 86 nt
Filed under: Alphaproteobacteria bacterium
Lineage: Bacteria; Pseudomonadati; Pseudomonadota; Alphaproteobacteria
Description: tRNA-Leu
Rfam family: tRNA
About the family: Transfer RNA (tRNA) molecules are approximately 80 nucleotides in length.
Source: RNAcentral